RNAcentral lists this ribosomal RNA (1373 nucleotides) under uncultured bacterium. Its description in RNAcentral is "bacterial SSU rRNA". It matches the Rfam family "Bacterial small subunit ribosomal RNA", at positions 28 to 1381 of the family's 1533-position model. The record is from RNAcentral.
GAUGAACGCUGGCGGCGUGCCUAAUACAUGCAAGUCGAGCGAACGGACGAGAAGCUUGCUUCUCUGAUGUUAGCGGCGGACGGGUGAGUAACACGUGGAUAACCUACCUAUAAGACUGGGAUAACUUCGGGAAACCGGAGCUAAUACCGGAUAAUAUUUUGAACCGCAUGGUUCAAAAGUGAAAGACGGUCUUGCUGUCACUUAUAGAUGGAUCCGCGCUGCAUUAGCUAGUUGGUAAGGUAACGGCUUACCAAGGCAACGAUGCAUAGCCGACCUGAGAGGGUGAUCGGCCACACUGGAACUGAGACACGGUCCAGACUCCUACGGGAGGCAGCAGUAGGGAAUCUUUCGCAAUGGGCGAAAGCCUGACGGAGCAACGCCGCGUGAGUGAUGAAGGUCUUCGGAUCGUAAAACUCUGUUAUUAGGGAAGAACAUAUGUGUAAGUAACUGUGCACAUCUUGACGGUACCUAAUCAGAAAGCCACGGCUAACUACGUGCCAGCAGCCGCGGUAAUACGUAGGUGGCAAGCGUUAUCCGGAAUUAUUGGGCGUAAAGCGCGCGUAGGCGGUUUUUUAAGUCUGAUGUGAAAGCCCACGGCUCAACCGUGGAGGGUCAUUGGAAACUGGAAAACUUGAGUGCAGAAGAGGAAAGUGGAAUUCCAUGUGUAGCGGUGAAAUGCGCAGAGAUAUGGAGGAACACCAGUGGCGAAGGCGACUUUCUGGUCUGUAACUGACGCUGAUGUGCGAAAGCGUGGGGAUCAAACAGGAUUAGAUACCCUGGUAGUCCACGCCGUAAACGAUGAGUGCUAAGUGUUAGGGGGUUUCCGCCCCUUAGUGCUGCAGCUAACGCAUUAAGCACUCCGCCUGGGGAGUACGACCGCAAGGUUGAAACUCAAAGGAAUUGACGGGGACCCGCACAAGCGGUGGAGCAUGUGGUUUAAUUCGAAGCAACGCGAAGAACCUUACCAAAUCUUGACAUCCUUUGACAACUCUAGAGAUAGAGCCUUCCCCUUCGGGGGACAAAGUGACAGGUGGUGCAUGGUUGUCGUCAGCUCGUGUCGUGAGAUGUUGGGUUAAGUCCCGCAACGAGCGCAACCCUUAAGCUUAGUUGCCAUCAUUAAGUUGGGCACUCUAAGUUGACUGCCGGUGACAAACCGGAGGAAGGUGGGGAUGACGUCAAAUCAUCAUGCCCCUUAUGAUUUGGGCUACACACGUGCUACAAUGGACAAUACAAAGGGCAGCGAAACCGCGAGGUCAAGCAAAUCCCAUAAAGUUGUUCUCAUGUUCGGAUUGUAGUCUCCAACUCCACCACAUGAACCAGGAAUCGCUAGUAAUCGCAGAUCAGCAUCCUUCAAAGAAUACGUUCCCGGGUCU